UUUUAUGGAGAGUUUGAUCCUGGCUCAGGAUGAACGCUGGCGGCGUGCCUAAUACAUGCAAGUCGAGCGAACGGACGAGAAGCUUGCUUCUCUGAUGUUAGCGGCGGACGGGUGAGUAACACGUGGAUAACCUACCUAUAAGACUGGGAUAACUUCGGGAAACCGAAGAUAAUACCGGAUGAUAGUUUGAACCGCAUGGUUCAAAAGUGAAAGACGGUCUUGCUGUCAUUUAUAGAUGGAUCCGCG
This 246-nucleotide ribosomal RNA is filed under the name Staphylococcus aureus. RNAcentral describes it as "partial 16S ribosomal RNA". It matches the Rfam family "Bacterial small subunit ribosomal RNA", at positions 1 to 235 of the family's 1533-position model. The record is from RNAcentral. Lineage: Bacteria; Bacillati; Bacillota; Bacilli; Caryophanales; Staphylococcaceae.